This 195-nucleotide ribosomal RNA is filed under the name uncultured bacterium. Its description in RNAcentral is "partial 16S ribosomal RNA". It matches the Rfam family "Bacterial small subunit ribosomal RNA", at positions 326 to 539 of the family's 1533-position model. The record is from RNAcentral.
ACGCUCGACACCUACGGGCAGCAGUGGGGAAUAUUGCACAAUGGGGGAAACCCUGAUGCAGCGACGCCGCGUGAGUGAAGAAGUAUUUCGGUAUGUAAAGCUCUAUCAGCAGGGAAGAAGAUGACGGUACCUGAGUAAGAAGCCCCGGCUAACUACGUGCUAGCAGCCGCGGUAAUCUGAGCGGGCUGGCAAGGC